Molecule: non-coding RNA, 226 nt
Organism: Paramuricea clavata
Lineage: Eukaryota; Metazoa; Cnidaria; Anthozoa; Malacalcyonacea; Plexauridae
Source: the annotation of a GenBank genome assembly
CACUUCAGCAAUAUAGCAAAGCCGGCCGUCCGGCACCAUUUAGUAAUACAUUUCUUGAACUUUAUAUUUGAAAAUAAGAAAAUAUUUAAUGCUUUAAAUCCGAAUGCAAUAUAAACAGUCUUUCAUUACAGUUUAUAUUUACCGCCUAAUUAAACAAAUGUAAUUUUGCAUCAAAAACACAGAAAGUCCGAGGUUGUUGUGCAGAAUUUAAUUAAAUAAAAAGCGC